CAGGGGAUAUUUUAUAUAAAAUGUUAGUUUUGGGGACUAGUGAAAUGGUUUGUUUACCUUUCCUCUGA
This 68-nucleotide transfer RNA is filed under the name Ateuchotermes retifaciens. Its description in RNAcentral is "tRNA-Pro". Lineage: Eukaryota; Metazoa; Arthropoda; Insecta; Blattodea; Termitidae. The record is from RNAcentral.